This is a long non-coding RNA of Nannospalax galili (Upper Galilee mountains blind mole rat), 978 nucleotides long. RefSeq lists it as uncharacterized. The transcript has 3 exons. NCBI's taxonomy places the organism in Eukaryota, Metazoa, Chordata, Mammalia, Rodentia, Spalacidae. The record is from RefSeq and is a predicted model, not a curated record.
UCUGCAUGGGCCAGAGCAUGUGUGUAGCUCAGAGGUCACCUUCAUGUCUUGAUCCUCCUUCCACCUUAAGUCAGGGUCACUUGUUCUACCUACCCAGUGCUGGGAUUCCAAGCAUCCCCCCAUCAUCCUACCCUCCUCCCUUUGGAUAUUUCAAAAUCAGUCGCCUCACUCACUCAGUCUGGGGGAUCCAAGAGCUACUGCACCCUAGAGCAUUGCCUGGCCCAGGGGACGCCACUGGAGAUGAGGUGCUGCGGCUUCUCCUCCGAGGCCUGCCUCAGGCUGGGUCAGUCAUCCAGAUGGAAUAUUCUUGCAGGUUCCAGUUUCGAGUGUACUUUCCCUUGCUCUCUCUGCAACACGUGUGAUUUGCAAAGUCAGUGCAUGGACCAGGGGAGGCCACAGCAGGUGACUGGGACGCACUCAUUAAAAAGACCCCAAGUUGCUAGUGCAAGAGCACAAAGCCCGAGAUUCCCAAAGUCAGAAACAGCGGCAACAAGGGCUUCGGGGACUACAAACCCCAGGGAAAUGCGGUCCAGUCCCUAGUCUGUUAGUGAAUCCUCCCAACAAGGUAUUUGUUGUUGUUGGGGGUUUUUUAUUUUUGCUUUUGUUUUUUUAAUAGUGAAUUUUUAUGGGAAGAUGUAACACUCUUUUUAAGUGAAGUUACUUCAUAUAAAAUAUGCAUAGAAAAUAUAAACCUUUCUCAAAGUUCGGUUGCCAGCUUUAGGGAAUACAGUACCAACUACAAAAUAAAAUUUCUUCUUUGCAGCCGGAAGUAGUGGGUCACGCCUGUAACCCCAGCUUUUUGGAGACAGAGGCAGGAGGAUCUCUGUGAGUUCAAGUUGUGUAUGUUCCUGGCGUGCAUGUGGAGGCCAGCAACUUGUAGAAGUCGGUUCUCUCUCGACCAUGAGGGUCAAGGGGAUGGAACUCACAUCAUCAGUCUGGCGUCCCACAGAGGCCAGAAGACGGUGUUAGAUACAACGG